GUUUCCUUGCUAGGAUUGGCUUUGGAGAGGUUUUGUGCUGAUGUUUCCUUGCCGUUGGCUUUGGCGAGGGUUUGUUUUUGGUGUUUGAACCUUUGUUUAGGUGUUUCUGAAUUUGGUGUAGUACUGUUACUUUGCGUUUGAGCCUGAUGGAUCGCUAGACCUGUCGUAGUCUUCUAAGGAGAAUCUCAUCAAGGGGGAAUGUUGG
This 205-nucleotide unclassified non-coding RNA is filed under the name Hevea brasiliensis (rubber tree). The record is from RNAcentral. Lineage: Eukaryota; Viridiplantae; Streptophyta; Magnoliopsida; Malpighiales; Euphorbiaceae.